GGUAGGCUUACACAUGCAAGUCGUGCGAGAAAGUACCUUCGGGUGCGAGUAGAGCGGCGGACGGGUGAGUAACGCGUAGGAAUCUACCUAGUAGAAGGGGAUAGCCCGGGGAAACUCGGAUUAAUACCGUAUACCUCCUUAGGGAGAAAGAGGGCUUAGCUUUGAUGCUCUCGCUAUUAGAUGAGCCUGCGUAAGAUUAGCUUGUUGGUGAGGUAAUGGCUCACCAAGGCGACGAUCUUUAGCUGGUCUGAGAGGACGAUCAGCCACAUUGGGACUGAGACACGGCCCAGACUCCUACGGGAGGCAGCAGUGGGGAAUAUUGGACAAUGGGCGCAAGCCUGAUCCAGCCAUACCGCGUGUGUGAAGAAGGCUUUCGGGUUGUAAAGCACUUUAAGUAAGGAGGAAAAGAUUGUAGUUAAUACCUGCAAUCCGUGACGUUACUUACAGAAUAAGGACCGGCUAAUUCCGUGCC
RNAcentral lists this ribosomal RNA (472 nucleotides) under uncultured Pseudomonadota bacterium. RNAcentral describes it as "bacterial SSU rRNA". It matches the Rfam family "Bacterial small subunit ribosomal RNA", at positions 41 to 509 of the family's 1533-position model. The record is from RNAcentral. Lineage: Bacteria; Pseudomonadati; Pseudomonadota.